RNAcentral lists this ribosomal RNA (424 nucleotides) under uncultured bacterium. RNAcentral's name for it is "bacterial SSU rRNA". It matches the Rfam family "Bacterial small subunit ribosomal RNA", at positions 355 to 771 of the family's 1533-position model. The record is from RNAcentral.
UGGGGAAUUUUGGACAAUGGGCGCAAGCCUGAUCCAGCAAUGCCGCGUGCAGGAUGAAGGCCUUCGGGUUGUAAACUGCUUUUGUACGGAACGAAAAAGCUCUCUCUAAUACAGGGGGUGAAUGACGGUACCGUAAGAAUAAGCACCGGCUAACUACGUGCCAGCAGCCGCGGUAAUACGUAGGGUGCAAGCGUUAAUCGGAAUUACUGGGAGUAAAGCGUGCGCAGGCGGUUUUGUAAGACAGAGGUGAAAUCCCCGGGCUCAACCUGGGAACUGCCGUUGUGACGGCAAAGCUGGAGUGCGGCAGAGGGGGAUGGAAUUCCGCGUGUAGCAGUGAAAUGCGUAGAUAGGCGGAGGAACACCAGAGGCGAAGGCGGCACUCUAAGCCGUACCUGACACUGAGACGCGACAGCACGGGGAGCAA